UGCCUGUUUAUCAAAAACAUGUCCUUAAGUUUAUUUUUAAGGUCUGGUCUGCUCAGUGAUUUUUAAAUAGCCGCGGUAUUUUAACUGUGCUAAGGUAGCAUAAUAAUUAGUCUUUUAAUUGAGGUCUGGAAUGAAUGGUUGGACGAAAAAUUUUCUUUAUUAAUUAAAUUUUUUUUGAAUUUUAUAUUUUGGUUAAAAAUCCAAAAUUUUUGAGAGGGACGAUAAGACCCUAUAGAUCUUUAAAAUUUCUUUUAUUUUUUUUAUUUAGUUGGUUUUAAGAAAAUAUUUGAUUUUUUUUUGUUGGGGUGAUAACUAAAAUUUUUAACUUUAGUUAAUAUUUACUUUUAUUUAUGGAAAUUUGAUCUUUAAUUUUUGAUUUUAAGAUUAAGAUACCUUAGGGAUAACAGCGUUAUAAAACUGGAGAGUUCUAAUCGAUAGUUUUGUUUGCGACCUCGAUGUUGGAUUAAAAUUUUAUUGUGGGGUAGGUUUUACAAUUUUAGGUCUGUUCGACCUUUAAAAUUUUACAUGAUCUGAGUUCAAACCGGG
This 546-nucleotide ribosomal RNA is filed under the name Hemisphaeriinae gen. sp. LZ-2010. RNAcentral describes it as "partial 16S ribosomal RNA". It matches the Rfam family "Bacterial large subunit ribosomal RNA", at positions 1797 to 2620 of the family's 2925-position model. The record is from RNAcentral. Lineage: Eukaryota; Metazoa; Arthropoda; Insecta; Hemiptera; Issidae.